CUUGAAGUUUGAUUGUGAUAGUUCUUAGUCUUUCCCUUAGUCAACCAGCUAGCUUCGUACACGGAUGUACGAAGCAGCGAAGCCGCGCCAUGGACGGCGCGUCUGAGCGGUAGCGUCAGUUAUCAUAGUUUAUAUGGAAAGACUUAGAAAUAUCCAAUCAAAGCUUCUG
This 169-nucleotide non-coding RNA is filed under the name unclassified sequences. The record is from Rfam.